CAAAAACAUGUCUUUUUGAUUUUGAUUUAAAGUCUGGCCUGCCCAAUGAUUUUUGAAUGGCCGCAGUAUUUUGACUGUGCAAAGGUAGCAUAAUCAUUAGUUUUUUAAUUGAAAGCUGGAAUGAAAGGUUUGAUGAGAAAAUAACUGUCUCUAUAUGAAUGGUUUAGAAUUUCAAUUUUAAGUGAAAAAGCUUAAAUAUUUUAUAAAGACGAGAAGACCCUAUAGAGUUUUAUAUUUGGCUGAAUUUAGAGAUUUAGGAAUUUAUUUUUUUAUUUUCGUUUAAAUAUUUUGUUGGGGCGAUGGGAAAAUUUAAUUAACUUUUUUUUGUUUGAGACAUUGAUUUAUGGUUAUAUGAUCCUUUUUUUUGGAUUACAAGACUAAAUUACCUUAGGGAUAACAGCGUAAUUUUUUUUGGAGAGUUCUUAUCGAUAAAAAAGUUUGCGACCUCGAUGUUGGAUUAAAAUUAAAUUCUGGUGCAGAAGCUAGAAUUUUAGGUCUGUUCGACCUUUAAAAUUUUACAUGAUCU
This 526-nucleotide ribosomal RNA is filed under the name Pimelia interjecta. RNAcentral describes it as "partial 16S ribosomal RNA". It matches the Rfam family "Bacterial large subunit ribosomal RNA", at positions 1808 to 2606 of the family's 2925-position model. Lineage: Eukaryota; Metazoa; Arthropoda; Insecta; Coleoptera; Tenebrionidae. The record is from RNAcentral.